Molecule: long non-coding RNA, 3179 nt
Filed under: Sus scrofa (pig)
Lineage: Eukaryota; Metazoa; Chordata; Mammalia; Artiodactyla; Suidae
Description: lncRNA (ENSSSCG00000055844.1)
Source: RNAcentral
UUUUUUUUUUUUUUUUUUUUUUUUUUUUGGUCUUAUUUCUGUCCCUUUCCCUGGUUUGUUCUUGUAACCUGUAGUGCCAACUCUGCUUCCGGAGGGGUAGUGCAGGAUGAAAUGCUGAUCCCGAUGUUGCUUUUCAUUCAUAAAUAAGUAGAAAGUUGUUUCUUCAGUCUUUUGGGAACACAGGACUUAAAGUCACAUCAUGUGUAGAUAUUAACAGGCAGCAUUACCAAGACAUGGCAAAAAGAGUUUGUCUGAAUUGUAAUGUUGCAUUUGUGACCCUCUUCUGGGAUUUUCAGAGGUACAAGGUUAGAAUGCUACAAUGUUACCACUGUGCCUUCCAAUGUUUAUAUCAUCGGAAACAUAACAUAAUCAAAGUGGCUGUGAUUUAACAAAAUGAUUAAAGUGUUAACCUACAUGUGUAGCCGAAGUAGUGUGCAGUGAGGUGUUUCUGAAUACAUGGUCAGAUUUUUGGAAAAAAACAAAAACAAAAACAAAAAAAAAAAAAACCAAGUAAAGUUCAACAACCAUCCAAUGAGAAAAUUGCAAGUAGUGUGACAGAGCUGAUUGAUUUUGUUGCUUUCUUGAUUUUUUUUUUCAAAAUGGGUUUACUAAGAUGUAGAUGACUUAACUGCCUCCUCCUUCGUCUGAAAAAAAAAAUGCCAAUAUUCAAUCAUCAUGCAGCAUUAUAACAAGCCUUAUAAGUCCUAAAGCAUUAAGUUGCACUUUCUUGAGGAGGGGUAGUGCAGUAUUUCUCUGGCCAGUAUGAAUGAAGUUUAUACUUAACAUAUUUGAUAGAAACAUAGAUCAAGCUAUGGCACAGCAACUCAUCAGAUAGCUAGCUUUGACGUCUGGGCACAAUUGAACCAAGUUCCAUCGUGAAUCUUUAUAAUGACUGACUUUGGUGUAUAGUGCAGUAAAGAAAUAGUGCUCCUAGUUAAGUAUUUGUCAGCAUCCUUUUGUCUCUAACUCGUUUCUAUUUUUACAGCCACACAAUCUUGGCAUGUAUUAAGAAAAAAAAAAAAAUCCCUUGUUCAAGUAGUUUUUCCACCUAUCAGCACUGAGUAAAUGCCAUAAACCCAUCGAAAUGGUCUAAAUGUUCCAUCUGUUCUCCUGUUUUGCCAGUUUAUAUAGUAAUGAAAUACAUUUGUAAAUUUUAUGCAACAAAUGGCAAACGUAUCAUUAUUUUGAAAUCGUGUAUGUAAAAGUUAUAUUUUUACAUGUAGACUCUUGUUAUUAUGUGUUUUAAUACAUUGUAUUGGUUUUUGUUUCUUUUCUUUUUUUUGUUUUUUUUACCUGUGUGGUUGAAAAACCGUCUCAUUGAAAUGAAAUAGUGAGCUACAAGAAUCUGAAUUUUAUGUUCAUUUCUGAAAAUGUAAGAACAAAUAAGAUAGUUACCACGUGGUCAUCUUUUACAAACCCAUAAACAUUUUGAUUAGCUGUGUGUGUGUUGAAAACUGUAAAUAUGUUCAGUAGUGAUAAAACUAAAAAUACUUUGAUUUGUUGAUAAGUUCUAAAAUGUGGAGGUGGAUUAAAACCUUAGAAUAGCAGCAAUCAGACUUCAUGAAAAAGUUAUGUUGAGGCUUUCCUGUGAAAAUGGACGAACAAAGGGGCUCCAAGAAGGGCAUGGAAGACAAUAUUGUAUCCUCUCCUCUCCUCCUGAGUAAUGGAAACCAUGUGUACUUGUACCCUCAGUAUGUUGACGAUUUCCUUUUAGUGGUACAUUCUGCACUCACUUUGUAUAGUCUACCAAGGCGGGUAUCCCUAGGAACAAUAUUAUAUAGGAAGCAGGUAUACUCUGAUCACAUUCAGGAUAAGUGUAUAGAAGAAAGUAUGGUGUUUACUCUUUAGGGAACUGGAAACACUCCCUGCGUUGAUGUACAUUUUAAGAUUGGCACUUUUGAUACAUGUUAUCAUCAAGGUGCUUUCAUAGAGCUGAUUUAAAGUUUUUCAAAUCUGUAAGCAAAGCAAAAAAAAAAAAUUAAAUUGUAGUUCUUGGAUUAUUUUUUAAAUCGGUGCUUUCUAUUUUGUUCUCACUCAAACAGAGUAAAAAAAGCUGCAAUUUAUUGCUCACCAGCUUUGAUGUAUUCAUUAAUCAGUAAUGUAAUACCUCUCUUGUGGAAUUCCCUUUGGAAAUAAGCGAAAAACUUUAUAACGGCCACCAAAAGCUGCUCACUACUUUUUUUUUGCUUGGUGGAGAAACAUCUGCACCUAUCUGUAUUCAUUGGGUUGUAUCCCCAUUAAAAAGGAAAAAAGAUGAAAGGGAAUGUGGCCUUUUUAGUGUGUUUUUUCUUGUUGUUGUUUUGUAAUUAUCAAACCCAGGUAAGAUAUUGGUAUCCUGUGCUGGAUUUUCGAGUGAAAUUUAGCAGAAGACAGUUAGUAUUAAAGUACUAUACAAAAAUGUCCUAAGGGUCCAUACUACACUAUAUAUAUGAUGAUACUGAGGCUGGGGAUCUGUUUAAGAGUCAUGGGCUUUAAUAAAAGCAACUUGGAACAGUUGAUCCACCUCCACAUUCAAGUAAUUUAUGAAUAUGCAGAAUAGGGAUCUGUUCAUCUAGGAAUUUCUACCAUUUGUCUUCUGUGUAGCUGCAAGGAACACUAAUGUUUAUACAACUGUCAGUCCAUCCAGUAACGCAACUGGUUCUGAUUCAGUCUUCCGAUUCCUUUUUGGUUUUCGCUUUUUCCUAUUUCUUGAUUUUUUUUUUUUUUUUUUUUUUUUUUUUUUGGUGAUCUUUAUUUUGAUGAGGGAUUGGGGGGUGGGGGUGGGGAGGGUGUUGAACCAAGACUUGGGGUUAAAGAGGAUUUUCGUCUUGGAUCCAACAGGCAGAAUAUGAUCUGUGUCCAAAAGUGAACUUGAGUCAGGAAUGAAACAAUUUCAGCAUAAACAAGCACAAAAAUUUAGUCUGCUGGCUGACUGGAAACAAAAAAAAAAAGUCAAGAUGGAAUAUGAGGAAUUCCAACACAAUGGGGCACCAAGGCCUUUAGGCCUCUCUUUUUAUUUUGCUUUGGUUCUGUUUGUUUUUCUUUAGAGACACGCUCUCUCUCAUGGGACUUGAAGUGGACUCAUCUUUGUGCAGUGCUGGUUUUGCCAUACUCAUUUCAAGUAUUAUAGACAUAUGUAAUGGUGAAAAUAUAUGAACUGUGGCCUUUUUCAUUCUUGUUACUUGUGAUGCAAUUAAGUG